UUGAAGAGUUUGAUCAUGGCUCAGAUUGAACGCUGGCGGCAGGCCUAACACAUGCAAGUCGAACGGUAACAGGAAGCAGCUUGCUGCUUCGCUGACGAGUGGCGGACGGGUGAGUAAUGUCUGGGAAACUGCCUGAUGGAGGGGGAUAACUACUGGAAACGGUAGCUAAUACCGCAUAACGUCGCAAGACCAAAGAGGGGGACCCUCGGGCCUCUUGCCAUCGGAUGUGCCCAGAUGGGAUUAGCUUGUUGGUGGGGUAACGGCUCACCAAGGCGACGAUCCCUAGCUGGUCUGAGAGGAUGACCAGCCACACUGGAACUGAGACACGGUCC
RNAcentral lists this ribosomal RNA (332 nucleotides) under Escherichia coli. RNAcentral's name for it is "bacterial SSU rRNA". It matches the Rfam family "Bacterial small subunit ribosomal RNA", at positions 1 to 332 of the family's 1533-position model. Lineage: Bacteria; Pseudomonadati; Pseudomonadota; Gammaproteobacteria; Enterobacterales; Enterobacteriaceae. The record is from RNAcentral.